RNAcentral lists this long non-coding RNA (1365 nucleotides) under Panax ginseng (ginseng). RNAcentral describes it as "long non-coding RNA (PGIN_LNC013019)". The record is from RNAcentral. Lineage: Eukaryota; Viridiplantae; Streptophyta; Magnoliopsida; Apiales; Araliaceae.
CUGAGGGCUUGAUUGUGCUGGGAUGGUGCAACAUUUGAUGGCAUGGGCUUAAGCUACGAGCUGGUCAUCAAAGACAAAGACUUAUGGGGCUAAGAAUUGGCAUUGAGUUUGGGCAUGACAUAGGCAGCAGUCUAGCGUGCUAGUGUGUGGCAUGGUUUGGUUGCUCAGCAUGUACAGUUGGGGCGCAACAGAGCUUGUAGCAGGUUUUAGCGAUGGGCAGUGUGCGACAACAUGGGGCACUGUGCGACAUUAUGCGACGUUGGGCUGGGCAACGUGGUUCAUUGGGCUUGAUUACGUGUGAUGACUAAGGUGUUAUGUUUGUAUAUAGCGCGAUCAUGCAAUCAAAUUACAUAAAAAGUGUGAAAGUGCGAUAAAAUAAAAUUUAAAAUUUUUAUACAAACUCAUCACCGUGAUCAUACUUUGUGUAUAAUUAUCAAUCAAUAGAAAAGAGAUGGAAAUCAUAUUCAUAUCCUUGUAGAAACUAGUUUCCUCGUGUACGAGUUCACCUCCGAUUCCUUUUCAUGUUCAACUUGAAUCCACCGGGUUUGAUUCCUUCCUUUGAUCAACAUUAGUCAUCCAAGUGUUUGGCCUUUAGAGGUGAUCCACUAAAAAAGAAGUAUUCAAGAAAAUGGGUGUUUGACAAAUUCCUAGAUUAUAUCCCUAUAGAAUUAUGUAACUCUCCCAACUCUUGGAAUUGUUAUUCGCGUGUUUUUUAAAACAUCAACCCACCCCAUAAUAAGACUUCUCUUAUUUAUAGAUGUAGGCAACCCUACUUAACAAUUAAGAAAUUGAGUUUUAUUUUAAUUAAUAAAACUCCGUUAAUUAAUUAAUUAGGCUCUCAAUCUUAUUAGGAAUAAUUAAUUAAACUAUUUUAAUUAAUUAGCCUCCUAAUCUUAUUAUGAAUAUAUAUAUAUGAGAGUACUUUUAUUAAUUAAUUCUCAAACUCCUUUAAGAAUUAAAUAAUAAUAAUAAGACCCCUCUUAUUAAUUUAUAUUUAAUAUUUCCAAAAUAUUAAUAUUAAAUACUUUGACAGGUCCCUUAAAAUCCUUAGGGUAUAUCAAAUGGUAUGCUUGAGUAUAAUAAGUUAUACAUGGAGAUAAUGAAUGAUCAACAAAGAAUCUAUCGCUUCUAGUAAAAGAAGGGAAUGUCAUAUUUGAUUCGAUAAAUGACAAUCAGUAGUCCUUGUCCAAGACAUAAUGAAAUUAGAAAUGAGUUUCUAAUUUGCAUUAUUUGAAGUUAUGCAUUUAAGAAUCGAAAUACAUAUAAUUAAAUAAAAUAAGACUUGACAGUAAUUCCAUGUCUUAUAUUUAAUUUGGACAUUGUAUAGUGGAAUGAUUGAAUUGUACUGUAACUAUUUAUUCAAAG